Molecule: ribosomal RNA, 278 nt
Filed under: uncultured bacterium
Lineage: Bacteria
Description: partial 16S ribosomal RNA
Rfam family: Bacterial small subunit ribosomal RNA
Source: RNAcentral
UGCCAGCCGCCGCGGUAAUACGUAGGGAGCGAGCGUUGUUCGGAUUUAUUGGCGUAAAGAGCACGUAGGCGGGUAUGCAAGUCAGUUGUGAAAUCCUUUGGCUCAACCAGAGAAUUGCAGCUGAAACUGCAUAUCUUGAGCCCAGCAGAGGAAAUCGGAAUCAAGGGUGUAGCGGUGAAAUGCGUAGAUAUCCUUGAGAACACCAGUGGCGAAGGCGGAUUUCUGGGCUGGUACUGACGCUGAGGUGCGAAAGCUGAGGGGGCGAACAGGAUUAGAUA